Long non-coding RNA from Pongo pygmaeus (Bornean orangutan), 4533 nucleotides. RefSeq lists it as uncharacterized. The transcript is spliced from 3 exons. Lineage: Eukaryota; Metazoa; Chordata; Mammalia; Primates; Hominidae. The record is from RefSeq and is a predicted model, not a curated record.
GCCCGCUCGCGUCCCUCGAGGUGGAGCAGGCGGCGGAGGCAGCGACGGCCGAGAGGACGGCGGCGGCGGCUCCCCAAGAGGUCUCUGGGUUUCGGUGUUUCCGGCUGGCUAAGGUCUGACUCCUCCUCCCUCCACCGCCUCCCCCGCCCGCGAAGCCACCAUCUUGACCUCGCCCGCUGGCCUCUGCCGUUGCUGCUGUGGCGAGGCCCGGAGGCUGCGCCGUCAGUCAAGCGAACCGCAGAGUCCGCGCCCACCGGCUGCGUCAUAAUCCCGCGUCAUAAUCCCGCGCUAGGGACGCUCCCCACGUCGUCAUCACCCAUGGUUGCCAUGGUUUCCGCCCACCUCCUCGGCUUACUCUAGCUUCGUGCCACCCCGUGGCGCAUGCGCUUUUCGGUAGCCGUGCUUUCCGGCCUUGGGGUUGCAGCUUCACCCUCGCAGACUCGGCUUAGCGAGCCAGUCGGUGCUUCCGCGGGGCAAAAUUAUUAGCCGUUUUAUUAGAGCCCAUUAAACGUUUCAUAAACAUGGUUCAGAGCUGCCUGGGAGAAGAAAAGCCAAAGGAUGCCACCCUCUCGACUUAUCCCACCCGCGGGAGUCUGAAAGCCGACGCCAGGAGAAAUCCCGCGAAGGCCGCCCGAGAUCCUGGUGGAGGCGACGCUGUGUGCGUUUAUGGAGCGCUUGCGGUGCGUGGCACUGGGCUGGGUGUGGUGGGCGCUGCCGAGAAAAAGGUUCCUGCCAUCCAUUUGCACAUUACCCUUCCCACCUCCUGCCCAGAUGGACAGAAGUGAGGACAUUCAUCGGCCGCAUUUUACCAAUGGCAAGGAGAUAGCGACUGAAGGGCAAGAACCUAGGGUUUCCUGUCUUUGAUAUUUCUCAUCUUAGAGGUUAAUUUCCUCAAACUGCAUGUCUGGGGAAUAACCUUGUGGUUAUGACAAUUCCCAAUGGAAAGCAAACUUGGCAAGGUGCAGACUUAGAACCUAAGAGUUCGAUGGAGAUCUUCAGAGAUAUAAAUUAGCUACUCAACAUAUCUGUUAUUCUGCCCUGAUUGCACUGUAAAGCAAAAGGAGAAAGGCCAUUAUGGGGAAAAAGAUCCAAAAGGACUCAUCUAAAACACAAGUUGGGUAGAGGAAAUAGAGGAGCCAGUAUUUGGAGAUGUUUACCCUGCUGUUUUGGAAGUUGUCCAUUUUACUUGAUAUUGGGACGUCUCAAGAGACCACUAUACCUUGAGUGUAAAAUACAGGUAUAUUCCUUCCUGCCAUCAUCGUGUAGCGAUAAUGCUACUUCCUCCUGAUGAUUGGAUUCAAUUACCCCAACUAACACGGUGACUCUUCCUUGCCUGCUGGUCUCCUGGCACAAGGACCCUGAACUGGGAAACCUCAGCAAGUUAAAGUUUAAAGGAUCUAUUAUUGUGUCUCUUCAUGAAAAGGUUCCUCUCUUGGGAAUCAGGACUUCUAGACUCACAAAGUUGUGGGGAUGAGAAGUUCAAACUCCCCACAUGGGUCACUGGGAGUGAGAGUAUGUGGUUAUAUUAAUUUCUUAUCACUGCUAUGACACUACAAACUUAGUGGCUUCAAACAACACAAAUUUAUUUUCUUACAGUUCUGGAAGCGUAAAAUCAAGGUAUCAACAGGACUGUUUUUCCUGAAGUCUUCAAGAAAAAGUCUGUUUCCUUGUCUUUUUCAAUUUCUAGAGGCUACCUACAUUUCUUGGCUCAUGGCCCCUUACUCAUAUCACCCCAUCCUCCUGCCUAAGUCAUUGCAUCUACUAAGCAAAUCUGCCUCUCUCUUGUAAGAAUCUUUAUGAUUAUAUUGGGCCUAUUGGAUAGUCCAGGAUAAUCUCUGUAUCUUGAGGUCAUUAACUUAGUCAUAUCCACAAAGUCUCUUUUAUCAUGAAGGUAAAAUAUUCAUAGAAUCCAGGUAUUAGGAUCUGAACAUAUUUGGGGGCCAUUAUUCAGCCUACCACACAGUGGGAAUUCUAUUUAUAUCCUUUAAUUCCCAAACACGCAUGUUAUGUAUAUAUGAGACACAGCACCAUAAAAUGAGUGUUGAUUUAGAGUAUGUACUGUACCCUGGUGGACAAGGUCAUUCCAUCUUCACAGGCUAUUAUCCUCAAGCUUUUGCUUCAGUUUCACCUUCAAAAGGGUUUUCCAUCAUUCCAUCAGGCUAGCAUUUUCUCGGUUGUAUAGUAUGUGAUAGGACCAGUGGAUCUCAUGGUUAUGUACCUGCUGAUACACCUCCUUUGCUGUAAAGUGGGUCCCUAAAUCAAAAGCAAUAUUACACAGGAUACAUGUUGAUGGAUCAAAUACCUGUAAACCUGUGAAUAGUAGAGCUGGCCAACAACUUACAGGCAAAGAAGUCAAACUCAUACAUGCAGAUGGGCAGUUUCUAGUCAAGUAGAAUCACUGCCCAUUCUAGGAUGGAAGGAAUCCAACAUAAAUCAACUUGCUGCCCAAGUAGCUGUUUGGUAUCCUUGAGGGUUGGUGCUGUAUCAGGAACUUGGUGUUUAACAUUGGGUAGUGGCUAUUUUGUUGUUGUUGUUUUGUUUUGUUUGAGACAGAGUUUCACUGGUUGCCCAGGCUGGAGUGCAGUGGCACCAUCUCGGCUCACUGCAACCUCUGCCUCCUGGGUUCAAGGGAUUCUCCUGCCUCAGCCUCGUGAGUAGCUGGGAUUACAGGCAUGCGCCACCACGGCCAGCUAAUUUUGUAUUUUUAGUAGAGACGGGGUUUCUCCAUGUUCGUCAGGCUGGUCUCAAACUCCAGACCUCAGGUGAUCCGCCCACCUCAGCCUCCCAAAGUGCUGGGAUUACAGACAGGAGCCAUUGCACCCAGCCUGGGGAUUGGCUAUUUUAUAAGUGGAGGCUAUCUAUUGGCCUCUUGCUCACUUGCAUUCUUGCAAGAUGACUACUUUGUCAUAAGCCCCCUAUGCCAUUCCUGGGGGCGGAGGGAGGGGGCGGUGGAGCUGAUGGCUGCAACUGCUGAAGUUUACUGGCUAAAUCUGUCUACUUGGUUAUUUAAUGCUGCUUACAUGUUGGAUUGUCUCUGGCAGAUAAAGAUUGUGUUAUACAAUACAAAAACCCCUCCUUAUGUGCCAUAUCUAUUUCUCCUCUGCUUCUCCAGACUUCUUGUCCCUGAUAUGCCAGUCUUAUUCCAGACCCCUGAUCAACUAGCCAACUUAUUUGCCAUGAAAGUAUGUUCUUACUUCAAGACUCUUUCCACACAAAGUCGAUGACCAGGAAUACUGCCCCACAUUAUGCCUUUUGGGAAGGUUCUCCUCACUGCUGUCUUUUAAGGCCAGUCCUGUGUGGGGCUGUAGGGCAGUAGCAGUUCAUUUUUGUUUUGAACCUAUAUUCCAAGAAAACUCAGUGAAUUCAGCUCAGGCUUUUUUGUCCUCCAUAAGCUAGACAUGAGAGCCUCCCAAGUGGCCAUAAUUGUAAGCUGAGGAAGGGACAUUGGUAAAGAAUCAGAUAUGACAUGGAAGCCUGACCACCUGCCUGUGCCCAGCUCAUGAUGGGCCUCUCUGGCUACAUGGUCACUUGAUGUCACCAUGUUCUUACCAAGAACUUGAUGUCACUUGUUCUUACCAAGGCACAUUAGCAUGGAUAGAGUUGUUUUUGGGGUUUUGCACUGCAGAUGGCCCAGCCUUGCCACAGAAUGCCAGGAGUCGACCUUGAUUCUCCCAUUGGAGCUUGCCGUCAACUUUCAUGGCUUCUUAUCACAUUUACUCUUGUCCCAUAGAAUAUCCUGAAUUGGUCCGUGCAACAGGGCUAAAUACACCAUACCUGCUAGAGAACUUUUACAUGCUAUGGAUCCCACUGAAAACUGGCAGAUUUCUAUCUCACCCAGUUUACGAGUCAGAACAGUACUGCCAACUUCUGAAUUCCCACAGAAGCCUACACAGCUUGGUGUGCUUCCCUGGUGGCAGAAUAAUUUUGGUGAAAUGAGUGGGUGAGAUGCAAUAAUUUGUCCUUUACUGUGAAGGGGAUAUCUUGGCAUUCAAGCAGCCUACUGGGCCCUAAAGAUUUCACUGAGUUAACAGCUUGCUGGGUCUUAAGGAUUAUUUUCCAUCCUCCAGUGUACAGUAUGCUAGCUGCUUAUUAUUCACCUUACCCAGUUAGCAUGAUGUCAUCAAUGUGGUAGGUCAUUGUGACAUUAUGUGGGAUGUUCAGAUGGUCUAGAUCUCUUUGGAUUAUGACGCAGUGUGGAAGAGUUAACAUAACCCUAAGCCAAUACUAUAAAUGGGUACUGCUGUCCUAUAUAAACACAAACUUAAUUCUUGUCCAGCACCCUCAGGACCCAGUUCCAUACACAUGCUCAUGGUUCCUGUUGGUACAUGUUGGUUAGAUCCUGCAUCUCUUUGGUCAUAUAAGCCCAUUUGGAAUUGAAAGUAGACACACAGGAUGAGGGCAAAACACCUGCAGAACAGCUGCUUCAUCAUGGUGUUGUGGGCUUUUUUCAUAUUAGGUUUUGUUACCUUUGAGUUUUUAAAUUAUGUAUGUGUAAAGCUUCGAUUAAAAAAAUAAAAAUUAAAAAGAAACUGA